RNAcentral lists this ribosomal RNA (460 nucleotides) under uncultured bacterium. RNAcentral's name for it is "partial 16S ribosomal RNA". It matches the Rfam family "Bacterial small subunit ribosomal RNA", at positions 338 to 795 of the family's 1533-position model. The record is from RNAcentral.
CCUACGGGUGGCAGCAGUGAGGAAUAUUGGUCAAUGGACGAGAGUCUGAACCAGCCAAGUAGCGUGAAGGAUGACUGCCCUAUGGGUUGUAAACUUCUUUUAUAUGGGAAUAAAAUGUUCCACGUGUGGGAUUUUGUAUGUACCAUAUGAAUAAGGAUCGGCUAACUCCGUGCCAGCAGCCGCGGUAAUACGGAGGAUCCGAGCGUUAUCCGGAUUUAUUGGGUUUAAAGGGAGCGUAGGUGGAUUGUUAAGUCAGUUGUGAAAGUUUGCGGCUCAACCGUAAAAUUGCAGUUGAAACUGGCAGUCUUGAGUACAGUAGAGGUGGGCGGAAUGCGUGGUGUAGCGGUGAAAUGCUUAGAUAUCACGAAGAACUCCGAUUGCGAAGGCAGUUCACUGGACUGCAACUGACACUGAGGCUCGAAAGUGAGGGUAUCAAACAGGAUUAGAUACCCGUGUAGUC